AAAGGAAUAGACGGGGGCCCGCACAAGCAGCGGAGCAUGUGGUUUAAUUCGAAGCAACGCGAAGAACCUUACCAGGUCUUGACAUCCAGUAAAGCCUGUAGAGAUACAGAUUCCCUUCGGGGGUACUGAGACAGGUGGUGCAUGGUUGUCGUCAGCUCGUGUCGUGAGAUGUUGGGUUAAGUCCCGCAACGAGCGCAACCCUUGUUGAUAGUUACUAACGCGUAAAGGUGAGGACUCUAUCAAGACCGCCGGGGACAACUCGGAGGAAGGUGGGGACGACGUCAAAUCAUCAUGCCCCUUAUGACCUGGGCUACACACGUGCUACAAUGGCCGACACAGAGAGGAGCGAACCCGCAAGGGGGAGCAGAUCUCAAAAAAGCGGUCUCAGUUCAGAUUGUGGGCUGCAACCCGCCCACAUGAAGGAGGAGUUGCUAGUAAUCGCGAAUCAGCAUGUCGCGGUGAAUACGUUCCCGGGCCUUGUACACACCGCCCGU
RNAcentral lists this ribosomal RNA (494 nucleotides) under uncultured bacterium. Its description in RNAcentral is "bacterial SSU rRNA". It matches the Rfam family "Bacterial small subunit ribosomal RNA", at positions 903 to 1397 of the family's 1533-position model. The record is from RNAcentral.